CUCCAUACAGAUUCAGUUCUGCUGUGCUUUCUCCCUUUCCAAGCAUGCAGAGGAGCACACUAGGUCCUCUGGAGAGGCUGCUGUGAAGCAAAGGACAAGUCUUCUGCCUCAGAACAUCCCUGUGUACUUUAAUCUUCAAGCUUCUGUGUAACUAGUAAGGAGCUCUCUAUGCUGCCUCAUUCUGAGUAAAUUGCUUCUUGAAAUAGGAAGUGCUGUUUCUUUUUAUCUGUUGAGGUGCAAUACAAAGGCCAACUCUCCACCCAUUCUGAACAUAACAUUCCUUUGGGUCUAUCUUAUAAAAAGCUGAGGUUGUGCUAGAGGACACUGAGACACUCCUUCAGCCUCCUCAGAAACGUCUCGUGACUAGCUGGAAGAAUGAAGCUCCUGGCACUUUGUGGCUUUUUGUUUGUCUGUCUUUUGUGCCUCAAUGUCUUUGCUGCAGAAGCCUUAGGUCAUAGGGUUAGAAGACGCUGCUGCUCAAAAGCAUCCGCAGUCAACAAAAAUCGACAUAAAGGUUUUAAAGCAACUGCAGUGGAAACAAGGAGAUCCUGCAAGCCUUGUUCUCGGCAAGUCCCUGUAGUGUUUUCUGGACCACUUCCACAGCUAAAAUAAGCAGACUGAGAGGAGGGUGAAAAGCAUCUGCCUACAUGCACAACCACCAGUGCUUCACUAUCUUGAGGACGCUCCUUUCACAGACAGGGCAUGAGUGUACAUUGCUUUCUGUUUGAGGAAAGGCUUCAUUACUGUUUAUUCAUUCCUUCACUCAGGCAGUUUUGAUAGUAUGAAUCUGGCAGAAGGAGUCAGGCAAAGUUGUCUGGCUGCCACCAGACUUUUUGUCAGUGGAAUAUUCCUCUGCACCAAGCAGGAAUUUAGCUCCUCAAGUAAGGCUGGUUGAAGAGGUAUCUGAAUUGCACUGGUUUGCAUUUCUAAAUGCCUUUUAGGCAUUCCAUUGCCUAAAAGAUGGUGAAGGGCUGAUGCUUUUGUUUCUAGUUAUCAGUAUACAUGCAUAUUUAACCUUUUCUUGAAUCAUUUAUUUUAUAUUAACCAAGGUGUUUCUUUGUAUGAUCAUUAGUCAUUGAUGAUUUUUCCUGCAGUCCUUGUAGUCGGUGUUAGCAAUCCACUUGGAAGUAAAUUUCUACAUAUGAUAAAAGUCUCAUCAUUUAGAAAGGGCUGAGAAACUAGAUAAACAGAUUAUUAAAACAGUGGUGAUGGGCCAGAUUCAAGUAGGCUUUUCAAUAUAUUUUCUGAGGGGGCUAAAUCUGACUUUAAAAUCAAAGUGGCCUGGUUUUAACUUCCUUAAGAGUAUCAUCAGGUGGUUAUUGAAGAGCAUACUGAAAAGAUAUUAAACCUAAUCAGAUUUCAUCUGUUCCUCUGAAGCCAGAAGGCAGCUGUUCUUUCAAGACAGUGGAGUUGUGUGAUCACCUCAAUAAACAAAGCUUACUGGAGCA
This 1448-nucleotide long non-coding RNA is filed under the name Serinus canaria (Common canary). RNAcentral's name for it is "lncRNA (ENSSCAG00000003120.1)". The record is from RNAcentral. Lineage: Eukaryota; Metazoa; Chordata; Aves; Passeriformes; Fringillidae.